AUUCUAUUCCUCUCUUCAAUUGCGUUUGCUUCUUUCGUGGUGUGGAUCAGUGUGUAUGCAUUGACAAUAUUGUUAAUAGGAUUCAUCAAAAUAAAGAUCAUCAUAGAAGUGUAAAGCGUUAUUCGUAAAUUCAUAAAGUGGUUUGUUAUUAAGAAAAGUUUCCAAGAAUGGCAGAUAAUGAGCAGAAAGCUUUACAGCUAAUGGCUGAAGCCGAGAAAAAACUCAGUUCAUCAAAAGGACUCUUUAGUUCUCUCUUUGGCUCAUCAAAGGUGGACGAAGCAGUAGAAUGUUAUCAACGAGCAGCAAAUCUGUUCAAGAUGGCUAAAAAGUGGGGCAAUGCUGGAAAUGCCUUUUGUGAAGCAGCAACACUCCACGCUAAAGCUGGUAGUAAACAUGAUGCUGCUACAAACUAUGUUGAUGCAGCCAACUGCUAUAAGAAGACUGAUGCAAAUGAAGCGGCGAAUUGCCUUUCAAAAGCUAUUGAGAUUUAUACUGACAUGGGAAGAUUUACGAUGGCUGCUAAACAUCAUCAAAGUAUAGCUGAAAUGUAUGAAAGUGAAGCAGUUGAUUUAGAACGUGCUGUUCAUCAUUACGAACAAGCAGCUGACUAUUUCAAAGGCGAAGAGAGCAUCUCAUCUGCCAAUAAAUGCCUUCUUAAAGUAGCUCAAUAUGCAGCACAGCUUAAAAAUUAUGAAAAAGCCAUCCAGAUUUAUGAACAGGUGGCAAUGUCAUCAUUGGAAAGUCCAUUGCUUAAAUAUAGUGCAAAAGAAUAUUUCUUCAGGGCAGCGCUUUGUAACUUGUGUGUAGAUGCUCUCAAUGCCCAGCAUGCUAUUGAACGAUAUAACGAACAAUAUCCAGCAUUCCAAGAUUCUAGAGAAUACAAGUUGAUAAAGACAUUAAUCGAACACUUGGAAGAACAAAACGUUGAAGGUUUUACAGAGACUGUGAAGGAAUACGAUUCAAUAUCAAGACUAGAUCAAUGGUACACGACGAUAUUGCUUCGCAUCAAGAAACAAAUUAAUGAUAACCCUGAUCUCCGCUGAUUAGUGGUAGUGAUAAUUGAUCAGUGCAUUAUAUCAUUAAUAUUCUUCCUCCUGCCCCGUGUGUAUUCUUCCUUGUUUAAAAUUAGGCUUCUAAUAUCACUCGUAAUAUAAACUAAAUCGGAGGCUUUGUUCAAAUACAAAAUCCAUUCGUUUAACUUUCAUCUUCAACAAUAAUAUCAAUUUCGACGUUAUUGAGUUAUAAAACUCUUUAACAGACUGCAAAUUUUCGGUGAGUGCUUAACAAGCAGUAGUCAAUUAGCUAAACAAUCUAGCUAGGUCGAUGCAAUCGAUAUUGGAAAUAAAAUAACUCUUUUAUUAUUAUAAAAAACCGAAUAUAUUAAUUUAUAAAGAAUACCAAGAAAGGAGGAUACAAUAUUGUUUUUUUAAUGUACAUUUUUGUGAAUUAUGAUAUAUUAUGGUUUAAAAAUAUUUAUAAUAAUCUCUAUUUAUUGUGUUACUUCUACAUUAUUCCAUUGUAAAAUUUUAUUUUAUGUAAUUGUUCAUUCCAUCAGUUAUAACAUAAAAAUUUUUAGCAUCCAUUUAAUGAAAAUUAAUUACAUAAAAAAAGUAUUUUCAUUGACAGACAUAAUCUGUUAAAAAUUAAUGGUUUUUUAACACUAAUUAUUACUUUGUUUGUUAUGCAAAUAUUGUUAUGAAUUAAUAUUAUUACCAUAAUUAAUAAAAUAUAAUAAUAAUAAUAAUAAUAAUAUAAUAAUAAUAAUUAAGUGCGGAAGAAUAUAUUAGGGGAAUAUAAUUCCAAUAAACUCAGCUAUUUGAUUAGUAGGAAGUGAAAAAAAAUCGAAAAAAAAUACAAAAAAAUAUAUCUAUCAACGUUUUAAAAUAUUGAGCUUAUCAUUUCAUAAAGAGGAGGAAUAACAAUCACAUUUACAAACUUCGUAAAGUAAAAUUUUUAUUCUUAGAAAGGUUUGACAUCCACGUGAAAUUAUUACAUGCCACUUAUUAUGUACCACACUCGUACACACGACAGCAGACAAACGUAUGCAUGUAUCGGAGCGAAUAAUAAAAUUAUUAAUUAUCAAUUCGAUUCUGAAA
Molecule: unclassified non-coding RNA, 2096 nt
Filed under: Chelonus insularis
Lineage: Eukaryota; Metazoa; Arthropoda; Insecta; Hymenoptera; Braconidae
Description: alpha-soluble NSF attachment protein, transcript variant X1
Source: RNAcentral